Small nucleolar RNA from Lycium barbarum (goji berry), 78 nucleotides. RefSeq annotates it as small nucleolar RNA snoR109. Lineage: Eukaryota; Viridiplantae; Streptophyta; Magnoliopsida; Solanales; Solanaceae. The transcript has a single exon. The record is from RefSeq and is a predicted model, not a curated record.
UGGCUGUAGCUACAUGAAUUCAUUUGGCCGGUUGUUGUUCUACUGUCGACACAUCUGCUUACCGAACUUCUUGCAUUU